Molecule: ribosomal RNA, 464 nt
Filed under: uncultured bacterium
Lineage: Bacteria
Description: partial 16S ribosomal RNA
Rfam family: Bacterial small subunit ribosomal RNA
Source: RNAcentral
CUACGGGCGGCAGCAGUGGGGAAUAUUGGACAAUGGGGGCGACCCUGAUCCAGCAAUGCCGCGUGUGUGAAGAAGGCCUGCGGGUUGUAAAGCACUUUCAAUAGGGAGGAAAAGCUUUGGGUUAAUACCCCGAAGUCUUGACGUUACCUUUAGAAGAAGCACCGGCUAACUCUGUGCCAGCAGCCGCGGUAAUACAGAGGGUGCGAGCGUUAAUCGGAAUUACUGGGCGUAAAGCGCGCGUAGGCGGUUUGAUAAGUCAGAUGUGAAAGCCCCGGGCUUAACCUGGGAACUGCAUUUGAUACUGUCAAACUAGAGUAUGGUAGAGGGUAGUAGAAUUCCUGGUGUAGCGGUGAAAUGCGUAGAUAUCAGGAGGAAUACCAGUGGCGAAGGCGGCUACCUGGACCAAUACUGACGCUGAGGUGCGAAAGCGUGGGGAGCAAACAGGAUUAGAUACCCCCGUAGUC